GUGGCUUCCUCAGCACAUACACUAAACUCUGAGGGUUCCAAGAUUAGCAUGGCCCUUGUGCAAGUAUGACAUGCAAAUUCGUGAAGUAUUUCCUAUUUUC
Molecule: small nuclear RNA, 100 nt
Filed under: Suricata suricatta (meerkat)
Lineage: Eukaryota; Metazoa; Chordata; Mammalia; Carnivora; Herpestidae
Source: RNAcentral